Molecule: unclassified non-coding RNA, 427 nt
Filed under: uncultured Ascomycota
Lineage: Eukaryota; Fungi; Ascomycota
Description: sequence contains ITS2
Source: RNAcentral
AACUUUCAGCAAUGGAUCACUGGCAGAAGAACCGGCUGCGGCGAAGGCCUGUUUCCAGCCUCGGCGUGCCGGGCGCGCCGGAGCAAUAAUCAGCCGGUCUUGUUCUACGUGCACCUCGACAGUGUCGCCGAACCCACAUUGCUCAAUCAGAGGGUUCGGAAUACGAAUUCCUCGGGAAUUGCCGAUGCGUACCAGUUGGGCUCUCAUAAUUGGUCUCGCCGGUGUGAUUACAUUGUAAUCGCGUCGGGCGCGGUGACCGGCAAGCCGGCAUUCAUUUACAGCUAACGGACGAGCACGACGCGAAGCCGCCGAUAGCGGGCAGGCGGGGUUGGCUUCUAGGACUAUCCUGCCUUGGGUUUUGCGCCGCUCCGGCUUAUAGUAGACGCAUAGGUGUUUAGCUACUUAAGCAUAUCAAUAAGCGGAGGCU